RNAcentral lists this ribosomal RNA (373 nucleotides) under uncultured organism. Its description in RNAcentral is "bacterial SSU rRNA". It matches the Rfam family "Bacterial small subunit ribosomal RNA", at positions 526 to 896 of the family's 1533-position model. The record is from RNAcentral.
CGUAGGGUGCGAGCGUUGUCCGGAAUUAUUGGGCGUAAAGAGCUUGUAGGCGGUUUGUCGCGUCUGCUGUGAAAAUCCGGGGCUCAACCCCGGACUUGCAGUGGGUACGGGCAGACUAGAGUGUGGUAGGGGAGACUGGAAUUCCUGGUGUAGCGGUGAAAUGCGCAGAUAUCAGGAGGAACACCGAUGGCGAAGGCAGGUCUCUGGGCCACUACUGACGCUGAGAAGCGAAAGCGUGGGGAGCGAACAGGAUUAGAUACCCUGGUAGUCCACGCCGUAAACGUUGGGAACUAGGUGUGGGCCUCAUUCCACGAGGUAUGUGCCGCAGCUAACGCAUUAAGUUCCCCGCCUGGGGAGUACGGCCGCAAGGCUA